AAGAAGGUAAUUUAAUUUAAAAUAUCUUGUUUCAAACUAGACAAUAGAAAAUUCUUCUCCUUCUUG
This 66-nucleotide transfer RNA is filed under the name Mytella strigata. RNAcentral describes it as "Musculus strigatus tRNA-Trp". The record is from RNAcentral. Lineage: Eukaryota; Metazoa; Mollusca; Bivalvia; Mytilida; Mytilidae.